UUUUUUCAAACAAGGUCAAAGAGUUUCAACCUGAGAACUAGCAAUGUGGAUGGAAUGAUUUCCUUCAUAUGAGUUCUAUUAGGUUCCUUUAUUUGAGUUAUUUCCUUUUCUUCAUUUCCCUCCAAAAAAUAUAUCAGAAGGAGAUAAUUACAUGAGUUGAUACAUAGGGCAAGGCUCUCUUCUCACUUGUAGUGAGGAUACAUCAACAGCAUUAGAAGAAGGAUAUCAUAUGAUAGUGUUUUCUUUUGGUGAUGUUGUAGAGUAGCAGAAGGAAUCAUUUUUUUCUUUAUGGUUGCAGCUUCUAAAAUGCACUGAAGUACUGUACUUGAGAAUGUAAAUAUUAUGCUGGUAUUUUUUUUUAGGAAUUGAAGAGUUUAUUUAAUCUUAUUUAUUCUAUAUAGUAUCAUCAAAUUUGUAAUCAAAUACAAUUGGUUCAUUUAA
RNAcentral lists this long non-coding RNA (441 nucleotides) under Lupinus angustifolius (narrow-leaved blue lupine). RNAcentral's name for it is "long non-coding RNA (LANG_LNC001663)". Lineage: Eukaryota; Viridiplantae; Streptophyta; Magnoliopsida; Fabales; Fabaceae. The record is from RNAcentral.